Molecule: ribosomal RNA, 18 nt
Filed under: Colletotrichum truncatum
Lineage: Eukaryota; Fungi; Ascomycota; Sordariomycetes; Glomerellales; Glomerellaceae
Description: partial 18S ribosomal RNA
Source: RNAcentral
GCGGAGGGACAUUACUGA